Molecule: non-coding RNA, 452 nt
Organism: Camellia sinensis
Lineage: Eukaryota; Viridiplantae; Streptophyta; Magnoliopsida; Ericales; Theaceae
Source: RefSeq, a predicted model, not a curated record
GUUUUCAAGAAUCAUGUUCCCCAGUUGCUAAGGGAUAAUCAAACCAAACAUCUCCUGAAUACUUUUGUUCAAAAUUUGUUUGCUGAUCUGCUAUUCUUCUGGUGCUACUGUGAUGUUGCUGCUGUUGCUGAGAUGCUGUGGUGAUGCUGCUGUGAUGGUGUUUGUUACGAUGAGGUGCUGCUGUGUUGUUGUUGGAUGUUUGCUGGUGUUGUUGAUGUUUGGAAGGGUGCUGGACUUUUUGUCCAAUUUGUAAUAGAUCAGGUUUUCAUUAAUGGGGGUUGUCAUUAGGUGUAAGUUCGGGCAACUGCUGGUGUUUUGGCUGGAAGGGUAUGGAGGGGGUAUUUUGUGUGAUUUCAUAUCCAUGUUAUUAGUUUGUUAUAGUGGUGCCUGAGGGAUGCCUCUUGUAAACCUGUAAAUCUUUUAAAAAAUUAUAAAUGAGUUUCAAUUAUUUU